AUCGGAACGUGCCCAAUCGUGGGGGAUAACGCAGCGAAAGCUGUGCUAAUACCGCAUACGAUCUACGGAUGAAAGCAGGGGACCGCAAGGCCUUGCGCGAGUGGAGCGGCCGAUGGCAGAUUAGGUAGUUGGUGAGGUAAAGGCUCACCAAGCCGUCGAUCUGUAGCUGGUCUGAGAGGACGACCAGCCACACUGGGACUGAGACACGGCCCAGACUCCUACGGGAGGCAGCAGUGGGGAAUUUUGGACAAUGGGCGCAAGCCUGAUCCAGCAAUGCCGCGUGCAGGAUGAAGGCCUUCGGGUUGUAAACUGCUUUUGUACGGAACGAAACGGCUCUCUCUAAUACAGGGGGCUAAUGACGGUACCGUAAGAAUAAGCACCGGCUAACUACGUGCCAGCAGCCGCGGUAAUACGUAGGGUGCGAGCGUUAAUC
This 433-nucleotide ribosomal RNA is filed under the name Acidovorax sp. F272. RNAcentral's name for it is "bacterial SSU rRNA". It matches the Rfam family "Bacterial small subunit ribosomal RNA", at positions 117 to 546 of the family's 1533-position model. The record is from RNAcentral. RNAcentral also lists the same sequence under 1 other name. Lineage: Bacteria; Pseudomonadati; Pseudomonadota; Betaproteobacteria; Burkholderiales; Comamonadaceae.